GUGCAAUGGCAUAAGCCAGCUUGACUGCGAGCGUGACGGCGCGAGCAGGUGCGAAAGCAGGUCAUAGUGAUCCGGUGGUUCUGAAUGGAAGGGCCAUCGCUCAACGGAUAAAAGGUACUCCGGGGAUAACAGGCUGAUACCGCCCAAGAGUUCAUAUCGACGGCGGUGUUUGGCACCUCGAUGUCGGCUCAUCACAUCCUGGGGCUGAAGUAGGUCCCAAGGGUAUGGCUGUUCGCCAUUUAAAGUGGUACGCGAGCUGGGUUUAGAACGUCGUGAGACAGUUCGGUCCCUAUCUGCCGUGGGCGCUGGAGAACUGAGGGGGGCUGCUCCUAGUACGAGAGGACCGGAGUGGACGCAUCACUGGUGUUCGGGUUGUCAUGCCAAUGGCACUGCCCGGUAGCUAAAUGCGGAAGAGAUAAGUGCUGAAAGCAUCUAAGCACGAAACUUGCCCCGAGAUG
Molecule: ribosomal RNA, 458 nt
Filed under: Escherichia coli
Lineage: Bacteria; Pseudomonadati; Pseudomonadota; Gammaproteobacteria; Enterobacterales; Enterobacteriaceae
Also listed under: 1 other name
Description: partial 23S ribosomal RNA
Rfam family: Bacterial large subunit ribosomal RNA
Source: RNAcentral